CACGUAGGGCGCAAGCGUUUGUCCGGAAUUAUUGGGCGUAAAGGGCGCGUAGGCGGCUUUGCAAGUGGCGGGUGAAAUCCCUCGGCUUAACCGAGGAACUGCCUGCCAGACUGUGAGGCUUGAGACCGGGAGAGGUCGAGUGGAAGUUCCCAGUGUAGCGGUGAAAUGCGUAGAUAUUGGGAGGAACACCAGUGGCGAAGGCGGCUCACUGGACCGGAACUGACGCUGAGGCGCGAAAGCGUGGGGAGCAAACAGG
RNAcentral lists this ribosomal RNA (256 nucleotides) under uncultured bacterium. RNAcentral's name for it is "partial 16S ribosomal RNA". It matches the Rfam family "Bacterial small subunit ribosomal RNA", at positions 524 to 776 of the family's 1533-position model. The record is from RNAcentral.